CCUACGGGAGGCAGCAGUGAGGAAUAUUGGUCAAUGGGCGCGAGCCUGAACCAGCCAAGUCGCGUGAGGGAUGACGGCCCUACGGGUUGUAAACCUCUUUUGCCGGGGAGCAACGGGCGCCACGUGUGGCGCCACUGAGAGUACCCGGAGAAAAAGCAUCGGCUAACCCCGGGCCAGCAGCCGCGGUAAUACGGAGGAUGCGAGGGUUAUCCGGUUUUAUUGGGUUUAAAGGGUGCGUAGGCGGAACGUGAAGUCAGUGGUCAAAUUGAGGGGGUCAACCCCUUCCGGCCAUUGAAACGGGGGGUCGUGAGUGGGCGUGAAGUACGAGGAAGGAGUGGUGUAGAGGUGAAAGG
This 353-nucleotide ribosomal RNA is filed under the name uncultured bacterium. RNAcentral describes it as "partial 16S ribosomal RNA". It matches the Rfam family "Bacterial small subunit ribosomal RNA", at positions 338 to 688 of the family's 1533-position model. The record is from RNAcentral.